UUUCUUUUGUUUGCGAGGGGACUACAGCAUUGUUUGGUUUUUUUUACUGUGAAGCCUCUCGGAGAUCUCAGGAUUGCUUUCCAUAUGAUUAUAAGGGCAUAAGACAUAGGAGCGAAUUAGCCGCUUCGGCCCGUCUUAUUUGCUCCGCCAUUCAGUCAUCCUCGAGACAUUAAUGCUUUUGCGGCUUUGACACAAGGCCGGAUGAGACGCUCCGAUUCGGGCCUGAUUGUGCUUUGGUCUUCCUUUUAUUUUCAAUGUGGAUGUGGUCCUAUUGGAGUCUGUGAUGUACAGUUGCAGUUCUCUGCAAGUGGGGUCUCAGACAUGCUAUGUGACCUGGUGUUCCGAUAUCUCCAGUUGUGGCCUGGAAGAGAUGAGCCUUCAAGGUGCAGAUGGUAGACAACUUGGUUCCUCACCAAUGCUACCAACUGAAAUGUCAGAAGAAUCUGAAAUAUCGAGACAGUAGGCAAUGUGUGGUUCUACCGUCAGAAAAAAUCCUCUGCACUUGAGUCAUCCUCUCUCACUCUCUCUUGAAGCUCCAGACAACAAAUGGCGACAAACCGGUCGAACGUGAAAGCGACCGUCAACCACACAGAGCAAUCCCUGCUGAAAUAAAUCAGCGCCGUGCUGAGACUACAGGCGGGAGUGAUGGAGAGCAAACUGUUCCCGAAAAAGAUAUCAGUGAUUCUUUUCAGUAUCACGUUCGUGAUAAUGUCCAGCAGAUCCGUCACCGCCAUUGCCACUAGGUAAUAAGUGACGCAUUUGGAGAGACCGCAUCUUCCCCGUGAUAGGACCACAACUGCUGCCAAAGUCGCUGUUAAGGGAACAAGAAGAACGGUUCGAGACUGAAUGUUUGAAGUCUCAGUACAGAUGAGAAUUCAUGAGAUGACUUUAUAAAUGACGCUAUAAGGGUAAAAAUAAAAUUCACUCGAGUGAUUCCUAAAAUUGUAGCACGGUAAAAGGUAGGAAUUGGACGACUGGGCCCAUGGAAGGCUAUUGGAUUUUUAGUUGUGUAUCCUCGAUUACGAGAAAUGGAAAUAAGGGAUUAUCCUUAAAAGUUCAGUU
Molecule: long non-coding RNA, 1062 nt
Organism: Hypanus sabinus (Atlantic stingray)
Lineage: Eukaryota; Metazoa; Chordata; Chondrichthyes; Myliobatiformes; Dasyatidae
Exons: 4
Source: RefSeq, a predicted model, not a curated record